GAUGAACGCUGGCGGCGUGCCUAACACAUGCAAGUCGAACGAAGCACUGAGAGUUUGAGAUUUCGGUCAAGAACACUCUUUGACUUAGUGGCGGACGGGUGAGUAAUGCGUGAGCAACCUGCCUUUCAGAGGGGGACAACAGUUGGAAACGACUGCUAAUACCGCAUGAUAUAUUCGGAUCGCAUGGUCUGGAUAUCAAAGAUUUAUCGCUGAAAGAUGGGCUCACGUCUGAUUAGUUAGUUGGUGAGGUAACGGCUCACCAAGACUGCGAUCAGUAGCCGGACUGAGAGGUUGAACGGCCACAUUGGGACUGAGAUACGGCCCAGACUCCUACGGGAGGCAGCAGUGGGGAAUAUUGGGCAAUGGGCGAAAGCCUGACGGAGCAACGCCGCGUGAGUGAAGAAGGUCUUCGGAUCGUAAAGCUCUGUUGUCGGGGACGAAUGUUGAGACCAAGAACAUAGG
RNAcentral lists this ribosomal RNA (462 nucleotides) under uncultured bacterium. RNAcentral describes it as "bacterial SSU rRNA". It matches the Rfam family "Bacterial small subunit ribosomal RNA", at positions 28 to 472 of the family's 1533-position model. The record is from RNAcentral.